This is a long non-coding RNA of Camponotus floridanus (Florida carpenter ant), 507 nucleotides long. RefSeq lists it as uncharacterized. The transcript is spliced from 3 exons. The record is from RefSeq and is a predicted model, not a curated record. NCBI's taxonomy places the organism in Eukaryota, Metazoa, Arthropoda, Insecta, Hymenoptera, Formicidae.
AACCCAAUAAAACUGAUUCCCGUUCCACAGGACAAAGUACUGGUAAUGCCAAUACAUCAGCUUGUAUUUGAAUAAAAAGUGGGUUUUGACUAAGUCCACCGCAAACUAAUAUGGUCUCGAUAUUAUGACCAGCAGCCGUCAAGAUAAGGAUAAUCCAGAUAUCUAUGAAAUAAUGUCAGUAAUAGUAUAAAGCUGUAUCCAUCAAGGCAUGCAAAGAUAACAAAAAUGCAAUGUAUGUGUCAAUACCAUUCCUUUCAGAGUUGGAUCAGCAAGAGGCGAACGAUUACCAUGAAAAUCUGGCCACACAUGUAUAUCUUUUGUCAAAUCCCGUAAAUUAAGUUGCUCAAAGAAGUCCUCGUUCCAUUCGUUCUUACCAUUGGGAUUGGCACUAUAGUUCCACUUGCACACUAACGAACAUAACGAUCUAAUAGAAUAAAAAUAAGAGAAUUAUUCAAUUAUUUCAACAGCUCUGAUUAAAGAAUUUAGACAAAAAUUUAUACCGGGAUU